Long non-coding RNA from Daphnia pulex (common water flea), 739 nucleotides. RefSeq lists it as uncharacterized. The record is from RefSeq and is a predicted model, not a curated record. Lineage: Eukaryota; Metazoa; Arthropoda; Branchiopoda; Diplostraca; Daphniidae. The transcript has 3 exons.
UGGGUCAUCAUCAAACUGUCAAAAGUCAAAGUGCUGAGGCGACUGAUAAUACCUUCUUUCUUUUUCUGUGGAGACGCUGUCCGAAAAGGAUGAAUUUAGUCAUUGCUGGGUCCUUUCUUACGUGACAUUUCUGAUCCUAGACAUGGAUUCCUUGGUUAGUUUAAAUGUUGGAGCUGCUAAUGGUGUUGAUGAAGUGUUCAUGGUGUGAGCAGUUUUGCAGUCAUUUUCCAGUUGAGAUGUCUUGAAAUGGAGCUUGUGCAGACAUUCAGUUCAACAUCAUACUUCAAUGUGUUAUUUGCCCAUGUUGAUGUUUUUUUGUUGAGCUGUUGUGCAAAAUAGUCGGUGUUGCCUGGUGGCUGUUGGGCAUGUUUUAUCGGCUGCCUUUUGUCGAUGUGGCGUCUCGUCUCUUGCCACCUGCACACACGUUAAGUUUAAUCGUUUGCUGCCAUCGACUUGAUCCAUUGGUGAAACUGAGAAGAGUUGCAGAAAUUGAAGACUGAUACAAUAAUAGAUUUAGACAAAUUAAAAAGGCAUGCAUGUUCUCCCUUUUCCCUAAGUAAACUGUUUCCGCCGUUGGUUAUUCGUCUGGUCGAACGGAAAAUAGCAAUGAAAAUGAUCUGAUGUAUUCCCUUAUGAUUCGCAAUCCUACCUCCUUUAUAUAACCGUCUUAACUUAUUUGCUCUUCAUAUAUGACCAUUAUCAAUAUUAUUACUUCGCUUACAAUAAAAUAUGAAACACA